GGUAGCACAGAGAGCUUGCUCUCGGGUGACGAGCGGCGGACGGGUGAGUAAUGUCUGGGAAACUGCCUGAUGGAGGGGGAUAACUACUGGAAACGGUAGCUAAUACCGCAUAACGUCGCAAGACCAAAGAGGGGGACCUUCGGGCCUCUUGCCAUCAGAUGUGCCCAGAUGGGAUUAGCUAGUAGGUGGGGUAAUGGCUCACCUAGGCGACGAUCCCUAGCUGGUCUGAGAGGAUGACCAGCCACACUGGAACUGAGACACGGUCCAGACUCCUACGGGAGGCAGCAGUGGGGAAUAUUGCACAAUGGGCGCAAGCCUGAUGCAGCCAUGCCGCGUGUAUGAAGAAGGCCUUCGGGUUGUAAAGUACUUUCAGCGAGGAGGAAGGCGUUGAGGUUAAUAACCUUGGUGAUUGACGUUACUCGCAGAAGAAGCACCGGCUAACUCCGUGCCAGCAGCCGCGGUAAUACGGAGGGUGCAAGCGUUAAUCGGAAUUACUGGGCGUAAAGCGCACGCAGGCGGUCUGUCAAGUCGGAUGUGAAAUCCCCGGGCUCAACCUGGGAACUGCAUUCGAAACUGGCAGGCUAGAGUCUUGUAGAGGGGGGUAGAAUUCCAGGUGUAGCGGUGAAAUGCGUAGAGAUCUGGAGGAAUACCGGUGGCGAAGGCGGCCCCCUGGACAAAGACUGACGCUCAGGUGCGAAAGCGUGGGGAGCAAACAGGAUUAGAUACCCUGGUAGUCCACGCCGUAAACGAUGUCGACUUGGAGGUUGUUCCCUUGAGGAGUGGCUUCCGGAGCUAACGCGUUAAGUCGACCGCCUGGGGAGUACGGCCGCAAGGUUAAAACUCAAAUGAAUUGACGGGGGCCCGCACAAGCGGUGGAGCAUGUGGUUUAAUUCGAUGCAACGCGAAGAACCUUACCUACUCUUGACAUCCACGGAAUUUAGCAGAGAUGCUUUAGUGCCUUCGGGAACCGUGAGACAGGUGCUGCAUGGCUGUCGUCAGCUCGUGUUGUGAAAUGUUGGGUUAAGUCCCGCAACGAGCGCAACCCUUAUCCUUUGUUGCCAGCGGUUCGGCCGGGAACUCAAAGGAGACUGCCAGUGAUAAACUGGAGGAAGGUGGGGAUGACGUCAAGUCAUCAUGGCCCUUACGAGUAGGGCUACACACGUGCUACAAUGGCGUAUACAAAGAGAAGCGACCUCGCGAGAGCAAGCGGACCUCAUAAAGUACGUCGUAGUCCGGAUUGGAGUCUGCAACUCGACUCCAUGAAGUCGGAAUCGCUAGUAAUCGUAGAUCAGAAUGCUACGGUGAAUACGUUCCCGGGCCUUGUACACACCGCCCGUCACACCAUGGGAGUGGGUUGCAAAAGAAGUAGGUAGCUUAA
This 1378-nucleotide ribosomal RNA is filed under the name Enterobacter sp. B53. Its description in RNAcentral is "16S ribosomal RNA". It matches the Rfam family "Bacterial small subunit ribosomal RNA", at positions 68 to 1438 of the family's 1533-position model. Lineage: Bacteria; Pseudomonadati; Pseudomonadota; Gammaproteobacteria; Enterobacterales; Enterobacteriaceae. The record is from RNAcentral.